UAUUGGGAGAAGUAGCCAUAUAAUUUGAUUGCUCCAAGUUUCAAGCGAUAGGUAUCAGGCUAUGAGCUGCCUCCCUCUUUGCUUCCAUGCUAAAGAUGGAGAUUGAGCUGGCCAGAAAGAUUUCAGCACUCUCAAAAUCACAGGGCCAAACCGUCACUUGCAGGGGGCCAUGUUCUAAUCUCAAUCUGGGCAUGCGAUUACCAUCUGAUGUCAUUGGGACUUGCGUACAUACACCAAGGGAAGUCGAUACCUCUUGAAGUGGAACUUGCAUGACAAAACCGGGACAAUAAGAAUCAGGCACAAUGUACCUUCAUGUAAGUGAAAGCACCUUAACAAAGAGCCUUUAGAAUCUUCAAGGAUUCCAAGAAGUGCAUUGCAUAAUAAGGAAGAAAAAAGUUAGUUACCUGUAUCUGAACCGUUUUCUAUGCUGACCCUUGACUUUGUUGUUUUAGUCGCAAAUUCCUUCAUUAUAUGGGUAGCUGCCCACUAUAUUUAGGUAGCCCAGCACUUUCCAUUUUAAGAGUUGCUUGUGCCCUUUUUUCAGAAGCGCUAACAUUUUCACUGAUUGCAAUGGGUCUCUGGAAUUCAGCAAGGGGAAAGCCCGCAGGCUAAAGAAAUGCCUUUUAUUUGUCUCAUGAAAUUCCAUUCAGGUUCAGUUGAGUUAUAAACUAUUUUUAAAAAAUCACCCUCUCCCUUCUCACUUGUAUUCCUCAGGAAAAUUCUGGCAGCCUGCCAAAAUUAUAAUUGAACACACAAACAUUCUAAAGAUUUAGGUCCAUGCUACCCAUCGUUUAAAGCAGCAGCAUCACCACCACCACAUGCUGUACUAGGAAUGCCUGGGAGCUGCUAGCGCAGCUGUAGUAGCAGGACGGAGGGAAUGGGGAGAGAGCUGAGUCAAGCCAGGCUGGGCUCCACUGAUCCAGCACAGGGCCAAGACAUCACAUUUCCCAUCCCCAGGGCAUGACCUGGGGGCAAGAGUCCCCCAACCUCCCCAUAGGGGAAAAGAGACAGCCAGAUUGGACUCCCCAUGUUAUCUCCUCUAGCCAUCCCAUUCUCCACUCUGGAGGUACCACUGUGGUGGGAGGAAGGAAUGAUUGUUGGGCUGGGUCAGACUCUCCCCCAUCACCGCUGGACCCAGAAUAUGGAGCCAGCCAACCACCUCACCCCUCCUCCUGCUGCCACCUACUACAAUCAGUCCUGUAACGCAAGUGGCCAAAGUCUGCACUGCAGUGCUGAUGGUCACGGUUCACACCAGAUGAUGGUACAUGUUGGUUGAAUUGUACAUAAUAUAAUUUUAUUUUUACCUUUUUCCUCUAACAAAAACACCACCCUUGGAAAUUACAUCCAAAAAACUGUUAAAAGAAUGUGAUUUAGUUGUUAAGUCAAGCACUUGAAAAUUUGAAAAUACCAGACUUAUGGCUGCUCAUACAGUCUUAAUAACUAUGCCCCUUCUGAGUAUGCAUUGUCUGGCGAUGGCAGAGGAAAGACAGGAGAAAAUGGACAUGGUUUAAUUAGGCUGCAACUUUAUUCACUUAAAAUAUCCGGAGUAUCCGGCAAGAAGUUGUACAGUGCAGCUGGUCAUCAUUUCCUUAAUAAUUUCCACCUAAUUUUGAGGGCUGCUGUCAGCACUGUCCCUUCCCAACCUGAUCCCAGGCAUCCCAUUGCUGGGCCCCCAC
Chrysemys picta bellii (western painted turtle) is the source of this 1676-nucleotide non-coding RNA. NCBI's taxonomy places the organism in Eukaryota, Metazoa, Chordata, Testudines, Emydidae. The record is from RefSeq and is a predicted model, not a curated record.